This is an RNA transcript of Gasterosteus aculeatus aculeatus (three-spined stickleback), 1630 nucleotides long. It is a transcript of the gene named keratin, type I cytoskeletal 18, with no coding region annotated. The record is from RefSeq and is a predicted model, not a curated record. Lineage: Eukaryota; Metazoa; Chordata; Actinopteri; Perciformes; Gasterosteidae.
AGCAGGACUAUAAGUUACAGACUUCCCACAGCCAGCGUCUCUUUCUAAACCAGCCAGCGGUGAGUCUCCACAUCUGCUUUUCUCACUUGAUUCUCUGCUUUGUCUAAACUCAAAAUGAGCUUCAGAAGGUCCACCGUGCAGUCCCGAUCCGCACCCAAGUACAGUUCUGCCAGCAUUUAUGGCGGUGCUGGUGGAAUGGGCUCCCGCAUUUCCUCUGCCUCCGUCUCUUCUCUGCGUUCUGGUGCCCCGAUGACCUCCUCUUCCUCUGCCUACAAGCUGAGCAGUGGAAUGGGUGGUGGUAUGGGUUCAGGUUUUGGAGGGGCCAGCGCAUCCGUUUCGAGUGGUGCUGGGAUCAUGGGCAAUGAGAGGGGAGCCAUGCAGAACCUGAACGACCGCCUGGCCAACUACCUGGAGACGGUGAGGAACCUGGAACAGGCUAACAAGGAGCUGGAGAUGAGGAUCAUGGAAGCUAUGGAAAAGGGAGGGCCCAACAUGAGAGACUACAGCAAGUAUCAACCCAUGAUAGACGACCUACGCCAGCAGAUCUUUGAUAAGAUUGGGGAAAACGCUGGUUUUGUGCUCCAGAUCGACAAUGCCCGUCUUGCUGCUGACGACUUCAAAGUAAAGUUUGACAAUGAGAUGGCAAUCCGUCAGUCUGUGGAGGCCGACAUUGGCGGACUGAAGAAACUCAUAGAUGACACCAACAUGACCAGGAUAAAUAUCGAGAGUGAGAUUGAAGCUGUCAGGGAAGAGCUUGUCUUCCUGAAGAAGAACCACGACGACGAGGUGAUGGAGAUAAGGAAUCAGAUCUCCCAGUCGGGCGUUCAAGUGGACAUAGACGCCCCCAAAGGUCAGGACCUGGCCCAGGUCAUGGAGGACGUGAGGGGCAAUUAUGAGAAGAUGGCCAUGAAGAACGUAGAAGAUCUCAAACGGUGGCAUGAAAAUCAGAUUGCGGAUGUGCAGGUGGAGGUGUCGCAGAACACGGAAGCCCUCCAGGGAGCCCAAAUGGAGAGGAGUGACCUAACCAGACAGAUACAGACCCUGGAAAUUGAACUUGCAUCCCAACAGAGCCUAAAAGCUUCCUUGGAAGAGACACUACGCAACACAGAGCAGCGAAACAACACGGAAAUGGAGCGUUACAACGGCAUCAUUAUUCAUUUAGAGGAGGAGCUGACCAACUUGCGUGCAAACAUCCAGCAUCAGACCCAGGAGUAUGAGGCGCUGCUCAACAUGAAGAUGAAACUGGAGGCUGAGAUUGGCACUUACAAGAGUCUAAUGGAUGGUGGAGACUUCAAGUAAGAAUUAGGUGUUGGGGGAAAAAAAGAGACCCGGCAAGGUGUUGAUAUAGUGGAGGCUCCAGGAUGCACUGGAUGAGCUGGCGGCCACAAGCUAAUUUGGAGCAAAGAGUCUGGUACCAGCACAACAAUGAAAGAGAAAAACCCACAACUGUGCAUUAUGGGAAACAAAUAUAUGCUGGUCCAAUUAUCUAAAGCCAAUUUUGAACCAAGACCACAUUCUGUGUAAACCAAAGCAUUUUACCACACAGCAAAACAGACACAGCUAUCUGGAAAGCUGCCAUUGCAUGACCUGACUGCAAAACAAAAAUGAAUAAAAACCACUUGUUGACUCA